This 492-nucleotide ribosomal RNA is filed under the name uncultured bacterium. RNAcentral describes it as "partial 16S ribosomal RNA". It matches the Rfam family "Bacterial small subunit ribosomal RNA", at positions 29 to 507 of the family's 1533-position model. The record is from RNAcentral.
AGUGAACGCUGGCGGCAGGCCUAACACAUGCAAGUCGAACGGCAGCACAGUAAGAGCUUGCUCUUACGGGUGGCGAGUGGCGGACGGGUGAGGAAUACAUCGGAAUCUACUUUUUCGUGGGGGAUAACGUAGGGAAACUUACGCUAAUACCGCAUACGACCUACGGGUGAAAGCAGGGGAUCUUCGGACCUUGCGCGAUUGAAUGAGCCGAUGGCGGAUUAGCUAGUUGGCUGGGUAAAGGCCCACCAAGGCGACGAUCCGUAGCUGGUCUGAGAGGAUGAUCAGCCACACUGGAACUGAGACACGGUCCAGACUCCUACGGGAGGCAGCAGUGGGGAAUAUUGGACAAUGGGCGCAAGCCUGAUCCAGCCAUACCGCGUGGGUGAAGAAGGCCUUCGGGUUGUAAAGCCCUUUUGUUGGGAAAGAAAAGCAGCAGGUUAAUACCCCGCUGUUCUGACGGUACCCAAAGAAUAAGCACCGGCUAACUUCGUG